GAUGAACGCUGGCGGCGUGCUUAACACAUGCCAGUCGAACGAUGGAGCCCAGCUUGCUGGGUGGAUUAGUGGCGAACGGGUGAGUAACACGUGAGUAACCUGCCCUUGACUCUGGGAUAAGCCUGGGAAACUGGGUCUAAUACUGGAUAUGACUUCUCAUCGCAUGGUGGGGGGUGGAAAGAUUUAUUGGUCUUGGAUGGACUCGCGGCCUAUCAGCUUGUUGGUGAGGUAAUGGCUCACCAAGGCGACGACGGGUAGCCGGCCUGAGAGGGUGACCGGCCACACUGGGACUGAGACACGGCCCAGACUCCUACGGGAGGCAGCAGUGGGGAAUAUUGCACAAUGGGCGCAAGCCUGAUGCAGCGACGCCGCGUGAGGGAUGACGGCCUUCGGGUUGUAAACCUCUUUCAGUAGGGAAGAAGCGAGAGUGACGGUACCUGCAGAAGAAGCGCCGGCUAACUACGUG
Molecule: ribosomal RNA, 466 nt
Filed under: uncultured bacterium
Lineage: Bacteria
Description: partial 16S ribosomal RNA
Rfam family: Bacterial small subunit ribosomal RNA
Source: RNAcentral